Non-coding RNA from Callithrix jacchus (white-tufted-ear marmoset), 3070 nucleotides. The record is from RefSeq and is a predicted model, not a curated record. NCBI's taxonomy places the organism in Eukaryota, Metazoa, Chordata, Mammalia, Primates, Cebidae.
CGGAUUAAGUCAAUAAUGUGGUGGGCUCAAAUGACACAACUCAAGCAAGUGCAGCUGUGGCUUUGCCAGCAUGUUAUUUACUCAGCAUCUUUGGACUUACCUCAUGCAAUGACUGCCAAGGCUGCUCCAGUGAAGGAAGACAUCUCAUAAAACUUAAUCUCAAACCAGUUUACCAAUUAUGUAAACAGUUUUUGAGGGUUGUCUAUGUGCCAGGCAAUUAUGCUGGGUACUUAUAAGAAUUAAGCAUGAUACUAAAAGAGUGCCUCUCGGCCAGGCUAGGUGGUCCAGACCUGUAAUCCCAGCACUUUGGGAGGCCGAAGCAGACAGAUCAGGAGUUCAAGACCAGCCUGGCCAACAUGAUGAAACCCCAUCUCUACUAAAAAUACAAAAAUUAGCUGGGCGUGGUUGCAGACGCCUGUAGCCCCAGCUACUCGGGAGGCUGAGGCAGGAGAAACGUUUGAACCCAGGCGGCGGAGUUUGCAGUGAGCCGAUAUUGCGCCAUUGCACUCCAGCCUGGGCGACAGGGUGAAACCCCAUCUCAAAAACAAAAAAGAGUGCCUCUCAACUUUUAUCUGUGUGUCAGAACUACCUGUGAAACUUUUUGAGGAUACUGAAGAGUGGGCCUUACCAUAUACCCACUGAAUUGGAACCUUCAGGAGAAGCAUCCAGGCAACUCAAUUUAUAAAAUCUCUUCAGGUGAUCUUAAUGCAGAACCAAGAUGAGAAACCACUUUGUUAAAUCCUACAAAGAGCCUUCCCUUCUGAGAAUUUUCAGUCUAUGGGAGAUAUACUGAUGUAAAUCCAUUUGCAGUAAGACAUGUAGUCAGAACACAUUUAAAAGAAAACACAUUAGUGAUAGAUAACAUCAAAUAUGAAAUAGAAACAAAUGUAUAGACAGAAGGAUAAAUACAAACUUCACAGAGGUUAGGGAAAGCAAGGAGACAUUUCUGGGCAGAUUCUAUUGUAUCUGGUUGGUAGGAGAAGUAACAGAUUCUGCUAUUCAUUUUUUUGUAAUACUAAAUUAAAGGCUCAGCAAAAGAUUCCAGUUUAAAAGGCAAUUCUUUACGUUUUCAAAAUUCUGAUGUAGUUGGAACUCUAUACAAAUUUGCAAAGCAAUUAUGUAGAAUAUAUAUACUUUCUAUUAAAAAUAUACAACUUUUAAAAUUUAGGUUAGAGCUACAAAUGACUAAGUCCUACAUAACACUGCAUAUGUUGUCCAGGAAAAAUAAACGACUAAACUAAUAUGCUGUGAACACACAUAUGAACAUGCAUCACAUCCAUGUUUAAAUGAAUUCCAGACAGUCAUAUAUCAAGUGGAAAGAAAUCAAAGGUUUGCAGUCCGGCUAAUGAGAGGUUCUCCGAAGGGCAUUCUGUGGAAUGCAUUUCUCUUGGCAAGUUGCUGUGGUGGACUCAAUUCAAUUCUAAGCAGAUUUCUUUAAUCCUUACUUCUAAGUGGGUCAGCACCAUCUGAUUUUAAGUAUUAUUGCAAGAGACAUAUGCACAAUGAUUACUGCAACCACCCUUCCCUGGAAAGUUGCUUUUCCUUUGAUAAUGCUUGGAAGACCCAAUUCACACAAGUAGAAAAGUCUCAGCCCGAUGACAGGAGCCUAAGAUUCCGAUGGUAUGUUCAGGACUGACAUCACCACAUCAGGACUGACACGUCAAGGAUUCAGCUGCAUGGUCCAGGCUGGGGAGGAUGUCAGGGAUUGUUGUGGUCAGGACCGAUGCAGCUAUGACUGGGGAUUUAUUUGACAUAUUUGGACUAGGUGUGAUGAGACAGCAGCUGGCAUUGUCAAUAGGUUGAGGGAGGGAGGAAGAAUGAACUAAUUAUUUGUUUAGGAUUAUGAGUCAGGUUUCUAUGAAAGAAGGACGUUACGAAGAUGGAAGGGAAGACUAAAAUUAACCCCAAAGGAUUGAAGGUGUCAAUGUGAACUCAGUUUUCAAUACGUAUGUAUGUAAAUACAUAUAGAAGUAGGUGACUAUUCUAACAUGUGUGUAGACACAUGUUUUUCUUUGAGCUGUUAACCAACAGGGCAGUGAGCCUGUCUCAGGUCUUCAUUUCCAUAUACCAUUCCCCAUUUAAAGAAACCAGGGCGCCUUGGAAAAAUGGCUAAUUUUAGACCUGGAGUAGGGAGUAGGAAAAAGUUUAAGAUGAGCUUAUAAAAAAAAAUAAGAGCUGAAAAAGUAAUGAGGCAGAAGCCAGCUGUGUUCCUUUGAGACGAGAGACUCCCGAAAACCAAAUCUGGGAAAAUUUCAGCAUGAAAAUGAAUGACAGUAAUACACUGUAACCUACUGAAUAAACUGGGCAUUCAUGAGUCUAUGCUGAUUUAAGCAAUGGAGAAAGAAGAGCUCUUCCUUAUAGUAGUAAGAUGCCAACCAAAGCAGAAGUCAUAGACUCACCAGUUGACAACCAAAAUAGUAAUUGAUUCAGUCAGGUAUUGUCAAUAGACUCAAACUAGCUGGUGAAAAUUUGAUGAGAAACAGGACACUUACAAUCUUUAAGAAUCUCCUCACAAAGUACUUCCUAAUUUUAAUUUUACAAUGGAGAAACAUAGUAGAUACCAUCUGAACCAAGUGACCAAAAUUAAUACCACCAGAAACAGGACAAAUUGACAUUGUGUGCAUCUGGGCAUGACACAUUGAGAAUACAGCAUUGUUUCUGUGGUAUUGGACAAAAAUGUCUAUCCUAAAUCUUAUGGGAAACAUAGAUACACCCAAACUAAGGAACAUUUUACAAACUGGCCAAUACUCCUCAAAAGUCAAAGACAAGACUGAAAAGCUGUUCUGGACUGAGUGAAACAAGAGAUAGACAAAUGCACCAUGUGGUCAUGGAUUGGGAUGACAGAACACAGGAACAUUACUGAGGCAAUCAGAAUCAGCAAAUUGAAUGUGGUCUAUGGAUUAGCUCUCAUUAUGAUGCCAAUGUCAGCCUCCUAAAUUUGAUGGUUGUACUGUGGUUAUGCACGAAUGCCCUUAUCUUAAGGAAACACACACUAACAUAGAGGUAAUGGUGCAAGAAAUAUUUUGGCUGGGAUAACAUUGAAUCUGUAAAUAAAUGUGAAGUAAAUGAA